UCCUCGUUUAAGCGAGGCAGUCUGUCCAGAGUGCUCCGAUCUUGCGAUCGGGUGGCAACUAAUGACAAGGGUUGCGCUCGUUGCGGGACUUAACCCAACAUCUCACGACACGAGCUGACGACAGCCAUGCAGCACCUGUGUUCCGAUUCCCUUUCGGGCACACCCAUAUCUCUACGGGCUCUCGGACAUGUCAAGGCCAGGUAAGGUUCUUCGCGUUGCAUCGAAUUAAGCCACAUACUCCACCGCUUGUGCAGGCCCCCGUCAAUUUCUUUGAGUUUUAAUCUUGCGACCGUACUUCCCAGGCGGCUUGCUUAACGCGUUAGCUCCACCACAAGAGGGGUCGAUUCCUCUUACAGCAAGCAAACACCGUUUAGGGCUAGGACUAC
RNAcentral lists this unclassified non-coding RNA (386 nucleotides) under uncultured Verrucomicrobiae bacterium. RNAcentral describes it as "contains 16S-23S intergenic spacer region". Lineage: Bacteria; Pseudomonadati; Verrucomicrobiota; Verrucomicrobiia. The record is from RNAcentral.